RNAcentral lists this ribosomal RNA (1397 nucleotides) under uncultured bacterium. RNAcentral describes it as "bacterial SSU rRNA". It matches the Rfam family "Bacterial small subunit ribosomal RNA". The record is from RNAcentral.
AGAGUUUGAUCCUGGCUCAGGAUGAACGCUAGCUACAGGCUUAACACAUGCAAGUCGAGGGGCAGCAUCAUCAAAGCUUGCUUUGAUGGAUGGCGACCGGCGCACGGGUGAGUAACACGUAUCCAACCUGCCGACAACACUGGGAUAGCCUUUCGAAAGAAAGAUUAAUACCGGAUGGCAUAGUUUUCCCGCAUGGGAUAAUUAUUAAAGAAUUUCGGUUGUCGAUGGGGAUGCGUUCCAUUAGGCAGUUGGCGGGGUAACGGCCCACCAAACCAACGAUGGAUAGGGGUUCUGAGAGGAAGGUCCCCCACAUUGGAACUGAGACACGGUCCAAACUCCUACGGGAGGCAGCAGUGAGGAAUAUUGGUCAAUGGACGAGAGUCUGAACCAGCCAAGUAGCGUGAAGGAUGACUGCCCUAUGGGUUGUAAACUUCUUUUAUACGGGAAUAAAGUUAGCCACGUGUGGCUUUUUGUAUGUACCGUAUGAAUAAGGAUCGGCUAACUCCGUGCCAGCAGCCGCGGUAAUACGGAGGAUCCGAGCGUUAUCCGGAUUUAUUGGGUUUAAAGGGAGCGUAGGCGGGUUGUUAAGUCAGUUGUGAAAGUUUGCGGCUCAACCGUAAAAUUGCAGUUGAUACUGGCGACCUUGAGUGCAACAGAGGUAGGCGGAAUUCGUGGUGUAGCGGUGAAAUGCUUAGAUAUCACGAAGAACUCCGAUUGCGAAGGCAGCUUACUGGAUUGUAACUGACGCUGAUGCUCGAAAGUGUGGGUAUCAAACAGGAUUAGAUACCCUGGUAGUCCACACAGUAAACGAUGAAUACUCGCUGUUUGCGAUAUACAGUAAGCGGCCAAGCGAAAGCAUUAAGUAUUCCACCUGGGGAGUACGCCGGCAACGGUGAAACUCAAAGGAAUUGACGGGGGCCCGCACAAGUGGAGGAACAUGUGGUUUAAUUCGAUGAUACGCGAGGAACCUUACCCGGGCUUAAAUUGCAACAGAAUAUAUUGGAAACAGUAUAGCCGUAAGGCUGUUGUGAAGGUGCUGCAUGGUUGUCGUCAGCUCGUGCCGUGAGGUGUCGGCUUAAGUGCCAUAACGAGCGCAACCCUUAUCUUUAGUUACUAACAGGUCAUGCUGAGGACUCUAGAGAGACUGCCGUCGUAAGAUGUGAGGAAGGUGGGGAUGACGUCAAAUCAGCACGGCCCUUACGUCCGGGGCUACACACGUGUUACAAUGGGGGGUACAGAAGGCGGCUACCUGGUGACAGGAUGCUAAUCCCAAAAGCCGGUCGUAGUUCGGAUUGGAGUCUGUAACCCGACUCCAUGAAGUUGGAUUCGCUAGUAAUCGCGCAUCAGCCAUGGCGCGGUGAAUACGUUCCCGGGCCUUGCACACACCGCCCGUCAAG